CGGGGGCUAGGUUAAAAAUAAACUUUGGGUUUCCAAAACCUAGGAUGAGAAGGUUUUCUCGCCUUCGG
Molecule: transfer RNA, 68 nt
Filed under: Mimachlamys senatoria
Lineage: Eukaryota; Metazoa; Mollusca; Bivalvia; Pectinida; Pectinidae
Description: tRNA-Trp
Source: RNAcentral